Long non-coding RNA from Solea solea (common sole), 590 nucleotides. RefSeq lists it as uncharacterized. The record is from RefSeq and is a predicted model, not a curated record. The transcript is spliced from 3 exons. Lineage: Eukaryota; Metazoa; Chordata; Actinopteri; Pleuronectiformes; Soleidae.
AAUAGCUGUUAGUUAUAACUCACCGACACAGAUUUGAUGCCACUGAUAAUAUCCUCAGGGUUACAGGUGGGAGGCUACCAAAACAACAAUUUAGUUAGGGGCCCAAUAAAGAGCAAACACCGCCUGUACUGCACCAGCAUCUCAGAGUGCAGUGGAAACAAUGUUGUCUGAAUACCAUGCAACCAUGGGGAUCACAGAAGAUGAACAUCCCAAGAUUGGUGUGUACAGAAAGCCACGCAAGGGCAAUGUAUCGUGUGCUAGAAUGUUAAAUCCACGGUGGGUGCAGGAGAACUCCAGUGGAAUGCAGAGUUGACACUGUGGACACUGUUGACUCACUCCCCAAAUAAAAGACAACAGUCUCGCCUAUAAGAGACCCCUCACUGAGACCUAACACUUUGUGCUCCUGAGGAAGCAGCUUUACAGGAUCUUUCCUGGAAGCCAAUCUGAGGACACAUCCAGCUGCAGAUGCUCUUUUGUUUCUCAACAUCUCAACAUCAAGCUAUGCAAUGGGUGGCGUCAAAAGAAACUUUCUUCUGUACACAUUGUGCUGCUGUUAUGUGAUCCCACACUAUCUUUGCACAGGACUUCAU